This 449-nucleotide long non-coding RNA is filed under the name Nicotiana benthamiana. RNAcentral describes it as "long non-coding RNA (NBEN_LNC019147)". The record is from RNAcentral. Lineage: Eukaryota; Viridiplantae; Streptophyta; Magnoliopsida; Solanales; Solanaceae.
CGAUCCGUGAGACUCUACUAAACUAGCUCAUAACUCGUGAGUCUAAGCAACCUAGGCUCUGAUACCAACUUGUCACGAUCCCAAACCCGAUCGUGAUGGACCCCGGCCGCGAGGCUGGGCAAGCCCGACCAAACCACAACCAAGAACGACAUUCUAGCCAAAAAGAAACGAUUUAAGGUAACACAUCAAACUUAAUAUCAACUCCCAUCCAGGGAUAGACGAUACCAAUGGAAAUACAAUUGAGCAAGAAGAAUAAUCCCCCCAAAACCAAGGGGUCACAUGUACAGAGCCUCUACAAAAUAGGAUACAAUUCUAAACGGAAGUGGUACAAAGUCUGACAAAAUAGCAAAAAGAAGAUGACUGAUAGAGAUAGAGUAAGUGGUCCUGCGAACGCUGGGCAGCUGCCUCAAUGCUCUGAAUAGCUCGUCAAAUCAACGGCAAAAGUACUA